GGAUGAACGCUAGCUACAGGCUUAACACAUGCAAGUCGAGGGGAAACGGGCGUCAGGCUUGCCUGACGCAGUCGUCGACCGGCGAAUGGGUGAGUAACGCGUAUCCAACCUGCCCGCAAGCGGGGAAUAGGCUUUCGAAAGAAAGAUUAAUACCCCAUGUACUCCUCAGCAGUCAUCUAAAGAGGAGCAAAGAUUUAUCGCUUGCGGAUGGGGAUGCGUCUGAUUAGGCAGUUGGCGGGUUAACAGCCCACCAAACCGACGAUCAGUAGGGGUUCUGAGAGGAAGGUCCCCCACAUUGGAACUGGGACACGGUCCAAACUCCUACGGGAGGCAGCAGUGAGGAAUAUUGGUCAAUGGGCGGAAGCCUGAACCAGCCAUGCCGCGUGCAGGAAGACGGCCUUAUGGGUUGUAAACUGCUUUUAUGUGAGGAUAAUAUUCAUCUUGCGAGGUGGAAUGAAGGUAUCACAUGAAUAAGGAUCGGCUAACUCCGUGCCAGCAGCCGCGGUAAUACGGAGGAUCCGAGCGUUAUCCGGAUUUAUUGGGUUUAAAGGGUGCGUAGGCUGACUAUUAAGUCAGCGGUGAAAAGCUUGGGCUUAACUCAGGUCUUGCCGUUGAUACUGAUAGACUAGAAUAUAUAUGGAGUAGGCGGAAUGAAUCAUGUAGAGGUGACAUUCAUAGAUAUGAUUCAGAACACCGAUCGCGAAGGCAGCUUACUAAGAUAUAAUUGACGCUGAUGCACGAAAGCGUGGGUAUCGAACAGGAUUAGAUACCCUGGUAGUCCACGCUGUAAACGAUGAUAACUCGUUGUCGGCGAUACACAGUCGGUGACCAAGCGAAAGCGAUAAGUUAUCCACCUGGGGAGUACGAUCGCAAGGUUGAAACUCAAAGGAAUUGACGGGGGCCCGCACAAGCGGAGGAGCAUGUGGUUUAAUUCGAUGAUACGCGAGGAACCUUACCUAGACUUGAACGUAUAUUGAAUACUAUAGAAAUAUAGUAGUUAGCAAUAAUGAUAUACGAGGUGCUGCAUGGUUGUCGUCAGCUCGUGCCGUGAGGUGUCAGGUUAAGUCCUAUAACGAGCGCAACCCUUACACUUAGUUGCCAGCAUGUUAUGGUGGGGACUCUAAGUGGACUGCCUGCGUAAGCAGUGAGGAAGGAGGGGAUGACGUCAAAUCAGCACGGCCCUUACGUCUAGGGCGACACACGUGCUACAAUGGUAGGUACAGAGGGCAGCUACAUAGUGAUAUGGUGCGAAUCUCUAAAGCCUAUCUCAGUUCGGAUAGGAGUCUGCAACCCGACUCCUUGAAGUUGGAUUCGCUAGUAAUCGCAGAUCAGCCAUGCUGCGGUGAAUACGUUCCCGGGCCUUGUACACACCGCCCGUCAAGUCACCUGAGUCUAUUGCACCCGAAGUCAGUGGCCCAACCGCAAGGAGGGAGCUGUCGAAGGUGUGGUCGGUGAGGGGGACU
This 1463-nucleotide ribosomal RNA is filed under the name uncultured bacterium. Its description in RNAcentral is "bacterial SSU rRNA". It matches the Rfam family "Bacterial small subunit ribosomal RNA". The record is from RNAcentral.